RNAcentral lists this small nucleolar RNA (108 nucleotides) under Gossypium arboreum. Its description in RNAcentral is "Plant small nucleolar RNA R71". It matches the Rfam family "Plant small nucleolar RNA R71". Rfam says of the family: R71 is a member of the C/D box family of snoRNAs containing the C (UGAUGA) and D (CUGA) box motifs. Multiple nearly identical copies of this snoRNA have been identified in Arabidopsis, and it is thought to function as a 2'-O-ribose methylation guide for 18S ribosomal RNA. Lineage: Eukaryota; Viridiplantae; Streptophyta; Magnoliopsida; Malvales; Malvaceae. The record is from Rfam by way of RNAcentral.
AACUCAUGGUGAGGGCACCUUCUCAAUAAGUCCUUAUACCUCUUCCAUGCAUCAUAUAGAGUCUCUAAAUCCAUUUGCACGAAGGAAGAGAUAUCAUUCCUCAGAGAU